Homalodisca vitripennis (glassy-winged sharpshooter) is the source of this 3013-nucleotide RNA transcript. It is a transcript of the gene named PHD finger protein 14, with no coding region annotated. NCBI's taxonomy places the organism in Eukaryota, Metazoa, Arthropoda, Insecta, Hemiptera, Cicadellidae. The record is from RefSeq and is a predicted model, not a curated record. The transcript has 20 exons.
CUCGUGCAGCCAGUGCUGAGUUUACCACCUACCAUGCAUCGCUAGCGUGUUUGUACAAUAUUUGGUAAAUAGAAUGGUUGCCGUAGUACCGGAACUUUAUUUUGUUGAAUCCGUCUCGUAAUGUCACGGAUUUUAAAGACAAUAAUGUCGUUGGGUCGUUAUCGACGAUCAGUAUUUUUAAGCGAAGACUUUUUAAUGUAGUUUGUGUGUUUAAUUUGUAGUACAGCCGUAUUCAUAAAAUAUUAUUGUUUUUUAAAAGACGCCUGGUGAUUUCUGUAUCCAUUCCACAAUGGAACGUGAUCCUACAAAGCGGAAGGUGAAACCUACUCCACCAUCAGCUCUAAUAGAUUUUGACCUCUCUGGUGAGAGUUCUGAUGACAGUGAUUUUCGAAUAGAAGACCACUGUGAAGAAUCGGACGACGAUUCGUUGGACUCUGACGAUGGUGGGAAACAAGACGCUGAUGAUAGUAAAUCUGAAGAGGAGUCUGAUGACAGUGACGAGAAUAAAAUUUCUGUAGAAGAACUAUUGCAGCAAGCAGAAUCUCAAAAAAUGAAGGCGAGUGGAGCUGUUGAUCCAGUGAAGAUCCUGAUCUGCUGUGUCUGCCUGGGAGACAGGAGUGAUGCCAACAAUGAGAUAGUGGAGUGUGAUGGUUGUGGAGUAACUGUACAUGAAGGUUGCUAUGGUGUAUCCGAGAAUGACAGUAUCUCCAGUACAGUCAGCUCCUGUUCCACCAUGCCUUGGUUCUGUGAAGCAUGCAGAGCUGGUGUAGAUGACCCAACCUGUGAACUGUGCCCAAAUUUUGGUGGUAUUUUCAAAGAAACAGAUACAGGCAAGUGGGUCCAUCUCGUGUGUGCCUUGUACAUCCCUGGUGUGGCGUUCGGUGAAGUCGAUAAACUCAGUAGUGUGACACUGUUUGAGAUGGCGUACACUAAGUGGGGAGCUCGUGCUUGUUCACUGUGCUCGGACCAGCGCUUCACACGCACAGGAGUUUGUGUGGGCUGUGAUGCCGGUCUCUGUCGCUCCUACUUCCACGUCACUUGUGGUCAAAGAGAGGGUUUGCUGUCUGAAGCCCAUUCAGAAGAAGUGGACCAAGCUGAUCCAUUCUACGCUCACUGCAAACUACACUCUGAUAAAACUCUAGUCAAAAAGCGCAGGCGCAACUGGCUGGCCCUGGAACUAAGGACGGCCCAACGAAAGAAGCAAUACGCUAUGGAAGGUCACAGUAGCUUACCGGAGCAGCUGCGUAUAAAGCGUAAACUGGAAAAGUACAAGCAGAAAUAUUGCAGCAUCAAGUUCACCAGGCCUCCACCAUGGGUGCCUACUCAGAAGAUGGCCCGGCCACUGACUUCUGAUGCUAAUGUGUGCCGCAUGUUGUGGCGCAAAGCAAGUCUCAGUGGUGUUGACACUCAGGCGUGGGCACUUCGCGAGGCUCAGACCGCUGCACUUGCCGACGUCCACCGCAAGUGGCACAUUCCACCAGCUUUCAGUGUGGAGUUCAUCGGCUAUUACCUGGAUAGAAACUACCGCAUAGAGUCAAUGAAACAGCAGCUGUCUGUUCUCCUUGAAGAGAACGCUAAACUCGUGGAAGAACAAAAGGAGGUGCAGUCACAGUAUGAUGAAGCAUUAAAAGAGAACAGUGGUGUAGUUUACAUCACCCAGACUACCAAAGCCACUCUACAGAAGUAUCAUGAUGUCAUCUUGAAAGUGGCACCAAACAAGAAACUACUCAAUUUGGAGUUAUUGGGUAAACCAGUUUUGAAGAGCCACCACCAUCCUCUAGCCUCGCCGUUGGGCAGCGUUCCUACCCUGGCGGCUCUCAAGGCAGGAGUUGGCUUCCCUCUGCGCCAGCAGCGAGAAACAGCUGUGGGGCUCUGUGUGGAGUGUGGUAUCUGCAGCCGAACCAACGAUCAGCAUCUGAUGGCCAAGUGCGAUACCUGUCACCUGCACUAUCAUCUGGGCUGUCUCAACCCUCCUCUCACCCGGAUGCCCAAGAAAACUAAACUGAUGGGCUGGCAGUGUUCGGAGUGUGAUAAGGACUCCAGUGGGUCCGAAGUGGAGUGUGUGGACCCAGAGGCCCCGAGGCAGCUAAGGAAACUCAAGGACAACGGCAAUGGAGAUGUAACACCUCCAGUCAAGUCUGAAGACCCCCCAGAGGUUGAGAAAGAAAAAGAGCGUGAUGAAGCGUUAACAGAUCUAGAGGUCGCCCUUUGUUCUCCAGAACCAGCCCCUGUUGUGAGUGGACGAUCCGGUAAGAAACGGCGUCGGGAGAAACACCAUCGAUACUCACCGUCAGAGCUACCCGGCAGCAACCAGGGAGUGAAGCCGCAUAAACGCAAACGGAAGCAUAAGAGCAUCGAUACACCGGAGGUGGAGGUAGAGGUGGAGCCUAACAGACCGGCCCUCAAGAUAUUCUUCAAGUCGAUCCCCCACCCGACAGGAGAAGGAAGCGCGUACGCGGUGACACCAGGUGGAGCCUACCAAGCUUCUAUAUCUCGCACUGUGGUAACCUCCACUCCUGCCCCCGCCCCCGCACCUGCUCCUAGCCGACCCACCACCCCACGUCCUCCACCAGCCAAACGCCUGAAAGAGGCGGCUGAUGCGGUACUCCUCUGCACCACCUGCAAUCUCAAUGGGACCAAUGCCAACAUUGUCAGGUGUGAUGAGUGCCGGAAAGGGUUUCACUUCCACUGUCUGGAUCCUCCUGUGAAGAAGUCGCCCAAGGUCCGUGGUUACUCUUGGCACUGUGCCGAUUGUGAUCCCACGGAAGCAUAGGCCAGCAACAACUUAACAUAUCGGGCCAGCAACCCAAGAAUUACCUGAUAGAGGAUUUAGACAUAAAAGGAAAGCGAUUCAAGCUAAGAACAUAGUUCUUGUUCGGAUCAUGGAUGCAGAUUUCAAACCAGAAUGAAAAAGUUAUGUUUAUUUACAAUUUAUGAUUUUUGUUUUCAGAUGAAUAAAUUGUAAUAAUUUCACAUUUAUAGUUAUUAGAAAUAUAUUCACAAAUAUGUAAAA